GGAUGAGCUGUGGAUAGGGGUGAAAGGCCAAUCAAACUACGUGAUAGCUGGUUCUCCCCGAAAUGCAUAUAGGUGCAGCGUCGCGCGUUUCUUACCGGAGGUAGAGCACUGGAUGGUCUAGGGGCCCACAAGCUUACCGAAAUCAGCCAAACUCCGAAUGCCGGUAAGUGAGAGCGCGGCAGUGAGACUGUGGGGGAUAAGCUUCAUAGUCGAGAGGGAAACAGCCCAGAACACCAGCUAAGGUCCCCAAGAGAUUGCUAAGUGGAAAAGGAUGUGGAGUUGCACAGACAACCAGGAGGUUGGCUUGGAAGCAGCCACCCUUGAAAGAGUGCGUAAUAGCUCACUGGUCAAGUGAUUCUGCGCCGACAAUUUAGCGGGGCUCAAGCAAUCCGCCGAAGCUGUGUCAUUCGUGCCAUAACCAGGCCUUCGUGGUCCAGGUGCACGGAUGGGUAGGGGAGCGUCGUGUGCGCUGUGAAGCGGCGGGGUGACCC
RNAcentral lists this ribosomal RNA (491 nucleotides) under uncultured bacterium. RNAcentral's name for it is "bacterial LSU rRNA". It matches the Rfam family "Bacterial large subunit ribosomal RNA", at positions 802 to 1269 of the family's 2925-position model. The record is from RNAcentral.